CUACGGGCGGCAGCAGUGGGGAAUAUUGCACAAUGGGCGCAAGCCUGAUGCAGCCAUGCCGCGUGUAUGAAGAAGGCCUUCGGGUUGUAAAGUACUUUCAGCGGGGAGGAAGGGAGUAAAGUUAAUACCUUUGCUCAUUGACGUUACCCGCAGAAGAAGCACCGGCUAACUCCGUGCCAGCAGCCGCGGUAAUACGGAGGGUGCAAGCGUUAAUCGGAAUUACUGGGCGUAAAGCGCACGCAGGCGGUUUGUUAAGUCAGAUGUGAAAUCCCCGGGCUCAACCUGGGAGCUGCAUCUGAUACUGGCAAGCUUGAGUCUCGUAGAGGGGGGUAGAAUUCCAGGUGUAGCGGUGACAUGCGUAGAGAUCUGGAGGAAUACCGGUGGCGAAGGCGGCCCCCUGGACGAAGACUGACGCUCAGGUGCGAAAGCGUGGGGAGCAAACAGGAUUAGAUACCCUAGUAGUC
This 464-nucleotide ribosomal RNA is filed under the name uncultured bacterium. RNAcentral describes it as "partial 16S ribosomal RNA". It matches the Rfam family "Bacterial small subunit ribosomal RNA", at positions 339 to 795 of the family's 1533-position model. The record is from RNAcentral.